Molecule: ribosomal RNA, 494 nt
Filed under: uncultured bacterium
Lineage: Bacteria
Description: partial 16S ribosomal RNA
Rfam family: Bacterial small subunit ribosomal RNA
Source: RNAcentral
GACGAACGCUGGCGGCGCGCUUAACACAUGCAAGUCGAACGGAAAGGCCUGCUUUCCCUUGUGGGUUGCGGGUACUCGCGUGGCGAACGGGUGAGUAACACGUGCGUGAUCUUUCCCGAACUUUGGUAUAAGCCUGGGAAACUGGGUCUAAUUCCCUAUAGGACCGCAGGGUGGUGCCUGUGGUUGAAGACGAUUGUCUAGUGGUUGGGGAUGAGCUCGCGGCGUGUCGGGUAGUUGGUGGGGUAAUGUCCUACCAAGGCGGGGACGGGUAGCCGGCCUGGGAGGGUGGACGGGAACAGUGGGACUGAGAUACGGCCCAGACGCCUACGGGAGGCAGCAGUGGGGAAGAUGGCACAAGGGGCGGAAGACUGAGGCAGCGACGCCGCGUGGGGGAUGACGGGCGUGGGGUUGUAAACUCCUUUCGACCGAGAGGAAGCCACCUGGUUGGAAGGGUGGUGACGGUAGUGGUAGAAGAAGCACCGGCUAACUACGUG